ACCUGCAGUGUGAGAGAGAGAAUGAGAGCUUUCAGGCUGUCUUUAUACAUCAAAGAAACUAAAAAAGUACAAAAAAUAAGUUUCUUUUUCUUUUUUAAACAGGGUACCUUUAACUACCUCACCCAGUAGUGGUCCCAACACCACUUCCCAUUUGCCUUUGCCAGACAUGAGAGGUAUGGAAUCUUGCAGGCUGUAUGCUGAAGCUAUCUACGCAUCACCAUGAAUCUUCAACCUGGAAUUAUAUUCUGAAAAUGUUUUAGAUGAGGAAUACAUACAAGUGAAAAACAACAAACCCACACCAUUCCCAAAUCUAUGUGUUCCAUGCCCCCCCGCCUCCCACACCUCUUCACCACAGGAUUAUAAUCAGAUUCGUUUCAUGCAGAAACUGACAUCGACAUGAUUAUCUUCAAAAUAGGCGUUGGCACAUUGACCUCUGUACACAAUGGUGACUACAAUACAGUAUGUGGUACAUACAGUGCCUUCAACUCAGUGUAGAAUUAGUGACCAUACACUGUUAAAUCUCAACAGAGUUUUGGAAAAACCUGUUGUUGUUUUUUUUAUCAGGGCUGCCUGGGUGGAGUAAAACUUCACUGCAACCUCAGCUUUUUGGCCUGUCAGUUGUCUACAACUGAGGAAAAGGGACUCAAGAUCUGCAACUCAGCAGUAGCUCACGCUAGGAGGAGGCUAUUCAAUGUACUGAGUUAUUUCAGCACUGUUCUUGUACUGCUCAUGGCAGGAGUUCUCUACAGUGUUUCUCAAUCUUUUUGAUUCCAGGGACCAGCUUGCUGCCUUCCUAAACUAUGUAAGGGAAAAUCUCAGGGACUGGCACUGGUCUCCGAAGCAUUCCCUGAGAAACACUGCUCUACACUUUCUGAAGAAGCACUCCCUGCCUUCCCGUGAUCGACUGAUGGGUACCCCUCCUUUGUAAUGUAGCCUUUCCCCUAUGUCCCAGAAUAUCACUUUUUUCUGUCAAUUUUCUUUUUCCUGCCCAGUUUUCUCAUUUGUGUUUUUGGAAGGGGUUUUUUGCACUAUUUUAUUGUUCACUCACUCUGCUGUCUAUUCAUUUAGAAGGUUACCCACCCAUCCAGAGUUGCAGGUAUCUAACAGGAGUCUCAAGGUUCCAAAUCACAUUACUCCUGUAGUUUGCUUCAGUGAGAGAAGCAGAGUGUUGCAGGCCUGCACAUUUAAGUUUCUUCAGUGGCCAACCGUAUUAGGGUAUACUGUGGGAGAAGGUGGCUGUCAAGGUGUCACCUCCUGCUUUACCCAUUGCAGGAAUAAAUUUUUGUUGGUGAUCAAUGACACAAAUUUUGAUGUAAUAAAGAGGUCCAUGGCAAUGCAGACAGCUUCUCAACCUCACCAUCUCCCACAUAUGGUUGAAAAACACUGAACUGAAGGACAGAAGGCAGCUUCUCUUACCCUAUGCCCAUAGCCAUCUCUUCCAGGAGGUGGAGGGCUCUUGGGCUUUGCAGUUGGUAAACUUUACCUAUUACCUGAUGGUCAACUGAAAGCAUGCUCUCACAUUACCAUGGUACAAGCCACAGCAGUGCUAGGAAUAUGAAAAGGAACCACUGACCGUGUGUCUUCAUGCAGUUAGCUCAGGUUCUUAUUCAGGUGUGCCCUUGACCCUCCUCCCAUCCACAUAAGAUUGGAAAUUUGACCAAUCCAAAAUUAACUGGUCAAUUGCCCAGUCAAGCUUGGUCAGAUAUCAAAAUUGGUCAAAUAUUUUCAAGCACUAAUUUAUUAGAACAGGAUCAACUGUAACAAAAGGAAUAAGACUUUACGGUCCCCAAUAAGAUUAGCCUCAGAUAGAUAGUUAUACCUCAUUUACAAAAAACAGGUUAUUUAACGGAGUUAUUUUAACUCAGAAAAAUGCAAAACAAUAAAAUUCUAACACACUCCCCCCAAAGAAAAAAAGAAUGGCACCGUGAUGCAAUCAAAAAGAUAGGCUGGCACCUAUAUCAGGACAUUCUUGCUGAAUAUUUGACAGUCAAAUAAUAGGUGGUCAAGUAACCCGACUAUUCAACUGACCACCUUGCCAAGCCUACUUCCACACAGAAAAUCCACUCACUUGAGUCUACCUGUGCUUUCAACUCAGGCUAGCUGGCCUGUCUGGGAGCGUAGAUUAAAGUACAGGUGCCGAUUUAACUCAGGCUGGUAACUGCCUGCCAUAUUGUGCAGUAGUUACAUCGACUAAAUCAUGAGUACUGACAGUUCUCUAAUGUCUUUCUACAAUUUGACUCCCUUCCUCCCAGGUCUUACCAACUAGGCACUCAAGAUAUGACCCCCAAAGUCCUAGAGAAACACAGGUGACAGCAUCAUCAGAGAGAACACAGUAACCUGGGUAUGGCUUUGCGGUGUGGCUGCUCACACCUGGGCAAGGCUAACUUGGAAGCCAAUCUCACGAGUUAACUCUGUAUUGAAAACAUACCCUUAGUAUCAAACCAGCACAAACCACUAGAUAGUCUUGCAGCAGGCAGGGGUAGCACUUAGAUCAAAAGCAUCCCUGCUUUUCCACAUACACAGUACUACCAAAAACGGACAAUCACUGGAAAGAGAAAAGAGCCAGACGAUGUAAUACUGAAAGUGCAAGUCUGUCAAAAUUCUUUCACACCUUAUAUGAAAAAGGAAAUUUCAAAAGCUCCCUACAAAUUAAGUUACAGCCCUAUUAUAUAUAUAAAGAAAUAAAAAUAAUAUAACUGAAAAUGGUGUGCAUACCAUAUUCAUUAAUGUUAUAUAUUUUCUUUCCAUCUGCAGUGAGCCUUGGCAAGGAGUUCAGUAUUCCACAUAUCACACAAGUAUUACUUAAGAUUACUUCCUCUCAAAUUAAUAAUUCAGUUCUACUUACACUAAUUUGAAAUGAAUAAGUUAUUAUAAGAUAUGGUCACUAUGUUGCUACAUUAAAUAGCAAUACAGACUAAUCAAAAUCUUGAGCAAAAUGCAUAGGAAUUCAUAUAUUUUGAGUUCUACAGCUCAUGGUGUAAUACAGCAGAAUAGCUUAACUCCUUUUUGCUAUUAGUCAGUAUUUCAUACCAUUUCUGAAAUUCAUUUGAACAAAGCAGCAUUUAAUGCAAUAUUGCUUCUUCAUAUAAUUGUUCAAACAUCACAGACAUGUGAAGUGCCAUAUUUAAAGUAAAUAAAAAUAUGCUUUUAGUAUACCUGUUUUUUUCACAGCUUUGGCCUGUUCCUGUUCUCUGUAUAAUAAUUAAAAACAUCAAUAUGGAAGUCCAGCACAAGUAGUAAUGUUAGUUUGCUGGAGCCCUAGAGAAGGGUUUACUUAAAUGAAUGUACCACACCCUUUGGCAAAACACCAUUUUACAGAGGUACAUUUAACUGUAUUUCUCAUGGAGGGAACGUUAAGGUUCUGAAAGAAAACCAAACUCACUGUCUAUGUCACACUGCAGUCUUAUCUUCCUCUCCUGCUACUCAUCAUGGUAGGUGGGAAAGAGCUGGCAUUCAGCCAAGAAGAAAAACUCAACAGCAGUUAAUGAUUGUACUAUUACUUUAACAAAUAUAUAGUAUUUCCUAUAAGGUUUAAAACAUUAGAAUUUCUACAUUAGCUAGCUUUUUACAAAACUACAUUAACUUGAAAACAUACUGUUAAACUCUGUAGUCUAUUAGAAAGCAUGGGAUGUAUUUCUCCCACUAUACACAAGUUUUUUUGCAUCCUCAUAUCAAGAAAUGUCUUAGUUUAAGACUAUUCACGUCAGUUUAUAUCUGUGUGUGUAAUUGUCAGAUAGCAAAUAUUUCCCUCUGUAAAUUAGUUAAUGUUUUUACAGGGGUAGGGCUACUUUAAAUGAUAAAAGCUUUUUGUUUAGGUUACAUGUACUGAAAUUAGAGGAAACAGUUGUGUGUAAUUGUAAGAGCCCACGUAACACAUUGCCUUUCAUAUAAAAAUCUAAGCUCCCACUCUUUCCCCAAAACCUGCCCAAAAUGUACAAGGAUGUUCUAGAAGUUGCAUCAUGUUUUAGAAUGAAAACCUGCAAAAAAAGUAUCCAGCUAACCAACAUUGUACUCAAAAGAUACUUGGAGAAACUGGAGUUAACUAUUUUUGUAUUCAAAGAAUAACUACAGUUUUCAUCAUUUGUAACAAAGUGGAAACAUUUUAACUUCCAUUUUAGCUAUGUUUAUAAUUGUUUAUGUGAGGUAUAUAUUAAAGAAGCAAUUAGCACCUUUGUCUAAAUUCAAUGCAUUGAGACAAAUAUUGAAGUUAGAGCCCUAGAGGAACUGCAUUGUCAAAUGCAUUAUUGGAGGGUAAAGGAAAUAUGGAAAGCAAAGACAAAUGAUUUUGAAGGAUGGAAUGAUAAAAAAAAUAGCAAAAUAUUUUAAAAUUUAAAAUGGUCUAUUAGACAAACACUAAUUCUCUGCAGCAUUUCCUGUAAGACGGUAGCUCCACUCUGCUUUUGUUUUCUGAUUUCAUGCAUUCCAAUAUUUGAAUAGGAAAUUUUGAAUAGUAAAAAUAUUUCAGCUGCAUUAAAUUUAUUUCAAUUUUACCAAGUAUUUCCUGGGUCACCAAUAGACUUCACUAAAACCUGUACAUAGGCUUGGACAAGUAAGUAUUUUUUUAGAAUAAGCAAUGAAAGGUAUUUCUAAAGGUAGAGUCAUUCCCACUUCAAUUAGCAAAUCUAGUAGUGCCAUUAAUAUAUUUUCUCACUGCAAACAUAAUAGCUCUGUUACAGACAUAUCCAAAUGCACUUUUGUGUAAGAAUUCUAUUAGCCAUAAGAGGUUGUGCUGUACGAGAUUACAUACAAAGCAGACCAGAAAAAUCAGUACCAAACAGAAUGAGAGGUUCUUGGAUGAAUUUUUAUUUUAAAGGCAUGUGAUAUAAACUGAGAGUCUGAUGUAUUAUAACAUUUUGGAUCAUGGAUGGAUGGAUUUUUUUAUAAUAUGAACUCCACAUGAAGCCCAGUUCUUUGGGGCAGGGACUGUCUAUUUAGACAGCACUACUGCACAACAGGGCUAUGAAUUAGCUGGGCAUCUGGGUGCUAAGACAAUACAAACUAAUGUGAUCAUAAAUAAGAAUUAAGUAGAGCAGACAUGUUCUGGAAGACCGGAUCUCACAUAUAGUUUAGACAUAAGAAGUUUGGUUUGCUAAUUUAUUAGGUGUUCAGUACAAGUUACUGUUAAAUGCUUCCUUUUAAAGGGGCUGGUUUAAUCUACCUUUAAAUACUAUUUGAAUGCAUUUAAGUAUUCAAAACGAUGUACAGAUUGUAGGCAAUAUAGCAAGCAAAUUCUUCUACUGCCUCGAGAAAAAGAAAGGCAUGCCUUGAAGGAUCUUGUGCUGUGAGUGUUUAGGUUUCUGGAUGCAGCUAUUACACGAUCUUUGAAUGAAAGCUCCCCAGGUUGGUGGGUAAGGCCUCCUCCAGGUAUGCCUUCUUGAUGCCACAGAAACAUCUAGAAAGGAAAGGGUCCUCUUGCCAUGUUAGGCUUCUCCAGACCCACCUCUAAGCACACAGACUGACCAGGCCAUACAUACAGCACCAUCAGCCCAUGCCUACCACUUUAGGACUGGUCCCAGGUUACCUGGAGGCGCUAAAUCAACACUCCAAGGUCAAACGCAGCAUCUACGGCCCACCCCGGAGGACAGGGGGGCCCCGGGCCGGCGUCAGACAGGGGCGGGGCAGGAUCGAUGGGGAAGAGGAAGUUCCCCCCGGCAAAUGCAGGACAAAAGCAUGAUGCCAUCCGCUUGCCCCGGACACGCGCCGCGGAGAAAGAAAGAGGAGGCACCCGAGCACACGCCCUCUGUGAGGGAAUGUCAAGAGCGUACCGGGGCGGGGGCUCACACUGCUGCCGGAGAGCGGAAGGGCUGGACACCCCGCUGCAGCGCUGGGGAAUCUGGCGCCGGCCGCUGGAAACGGACCAUCCCCCUCCACUCCCAGCUCCGCCGAAAUAGCGCCCAGGCUCCCCGCGCCGAGUCACAAGGCGCCACCCAUGAUUCUUGAGGAGACACAGCAGCGAGUGGGCCGUGGUACGGGACUCCACUGCGCCCUGCCUCCCUCAGGGGCAGAUCUGCACUGUGAAGGAGCCUGACUACAAGAUCAGCCAUGGACACUACACCCUGGUUGUCACUGCCACAGACCAGUGUCCAAUCCCAGCACGCUGUCUCACAACCACUACAACGGGACUCUGAUAAGCAGAGAGAAUAAAAGGAGCAAAGCACUGAGGAAAGGAGAGUGAGAAGAGGCAGAGUUACCAAGUGAUGGGCAGGUAAGGCUAACUAGCUUUCUCCGCCCCCACCCCCGUGAAGAAUCUGAAUUUGCCAGGAAAUAAAGACGGCAGAGAAGUGAAGAGGGCGAGAGAGGGAGAUGUUGAGGAUCUGGACUGGGACAUGUUGGGGAGUUCACCUGGGACUAGGGGGAAUGGGUGAUACUAUGGCGAUGGACUGUAUAAUAUAGCAGGCUAAGAGCCACCAUUUUUACUGCACUAAAGUGAGAAUUUUACAUCAGCAAGGGCAGAAUGCUGCAAGCAAUGGUCGGGUCAAAGCAGAAGACAGGAGGGGGCAUAGUUUAAGUAUCACAUAGAAAAAUGGAAUCUCUCAAACUAGGUAAGACUGUAAGUCAAUCACAUAUUUCUAGUCAAGCCAUACAUCCCAUUUUAACAACCUGUAGAGGCCCAUAAGCAGUCAUGGUAUGGUCUAUAAUUCAUCAUAUUUCACCUUGAUCAUAAUCUGUAAGCCAUUUGCAUUGAAACGUCCUUACAACUGAAAAGGAUGAAAGAGUGAAGCAUGAGAAAGAUUAUGCUGGGUUCGACACAAAAGCAUUACAGUCAUGCUGUGAGAACAUAUUCAGCAAAUGUGGGGAAGUACUCCAGAGAAAAGGGAAGUGGAUUCUGCAAGAACAAUGAGGCUAUUAUUCAUUAAGGUAGUGGGUAGGAAGGUCUGUAUAGUAUAGUGAAACCUGCCUGGGGUCAUUGCACAAUAUUUAAUAAUGCUGAGUAUUUACAAACAGUAGCCCUUUGCGUGUUCAAAGCACUAUCUCAUGCCUGGACAAUGAUAAACAUCCCUCACAAUGUGAAAUACAAUAUUCUCAAGCACUUUUCACUUCAGCGUCUAAUGAAGAAUGAGCACUAUGUUUGAAUAAAAGAUUAUGGCUGUGAUUUCCCUUGCCAGAAUGAUUCAAAGAUAUGCACAGGGAGCUGUGAAGCAUACUCAGUAGUGGAAUGUUUGUGCAAUGGCAAGCACAUCGCAGCUAAUGCAAAGCAGCUUUAUCUUUAACUCUUAGAGGGGUGGUUCAGACCAUAGUGCCCUCCACGGUCCUGUCGAGACAGGAAAUUAAAAAAAAAAAGUCGAGAUCAUGUAAUUAAUCAAAAGUAACUAAUUAGAGAUACAGGAAUUAAUAGGAAAACAAGCUAAGUUGUCAUCACAAAAAUUCACUAGAACACACUACGGAAGAAUAGGAGAGAAAAAUCUUCCUUCUAUAAUCAGCAAACAUCAAAAGGGAAAAAAUUAGGAUAUUUUGCAUGUGUUUUUCCAGCAGUGCUGAGGACUUACAGCUUCCUUUGGCUUCAUAUGCAGUUUCAGUGUUCAGCAUUUCUGAAAUCAGGUCCAAAUUGACUUGGGUUGGGCACUCAAAACUGAAGCACUAGAAAUCAGUGGCCACUUUAAAAAAAUUGGCCCACAUCUUUCACAAGAAAUAAUUUUUAUGGCUGUUCAAACCUUACGAUCUAUUUUGAGUCAUGAAAGACCUUAGGGAUAAGAUGAAUGAGGUGGAGAGACAAAAUGAAAGUACUACACCCUACAUUUUCCAAAAUGGCUUCUUAUUUUAGAGGCCCAGCUAGAGUCACAUGGUGCCUGAUUUUUAAAAGUGCUCCUCUGAAAACGAGGCCAAAGUUGACUUAAACUGAGCACCAAAAAUUGAGCACUGAGUGGUCACUUGAAAAUAUUGGCUUUGGAAGCUGCCUCUUCUGCCAUUUGUUUAGGAUAGGUCUCUGAUCAACCAUUUCAAUACAAUUGCUGGCAGAGACUGCGCAGGGAACCCAAAGCAGGUAAAUCUAUUUCCCAUAUAAUUAAUUCUCUUUGGUGUUUGAGUUCAGUAGACUGAGUUCAGAGAAAUUUUUCAUGGGCAACUGCUGUGCAAGCCUCCUCACACUGCAGGGUAAUGUACUUCAUUCCUAACCCCGAGGACCACCCUUACAAGCAAAGUGACAGCUCAGUCUCCAUGUCCCACUCAGUCCUUAGCAUCUCUGCUGGGACUGCCAGAGGUGCUGAUUGUGGUGGCUGUUUUGUUUUUGUUUGUUUUAAGAAAUGUGGAUACUUUCCUAUUUGGAAAUGGAUGGAAACCACUCGUCUCGUUGCAACAGUGAUGACUAAUCGGGAUUUGCAGAAGUUGCUUAUGGCAGAUUUCCAUCUCUUUUUUCAUGAUCAUUUAACACAGUGGGUACGCAGAGACUGGUUUUUGUUCUCUGGGGACAAACUUACAUUUUAACACAGAAAUGCUGUAACUUUGGUUUCUCGAU
Gopherus evgoodei (Goodes thornscrub tortoise) is the source of this 8452-nucleotide long non-coding RNA. RefSeq lists it as uncharacterized. The record is from RefSeq and is a predicted model, not a curated record. Lineage: Eukaryota; Metazoa; Chordata; Testudines; Testudinidae. The transcript has 3 exons.